Andrographis paniculata is the source of this 888-nucleotide long non-coding RNA. RefSeq lists it as uncharacterized. NCBI's taxonomy places the organism in Eukaryota, Viridiplantae, Streptophyta, Magnoliopsida, Lamiales, Acanthaceae. The transcript is spliced from 3 exons. The record is from RefSeq and is a predicted model, not a curated record.
UCAUAUCGGCUCAUCCUGUCUCUUCGACGUUGUUAGGGUUUCUCUCACUCUUUGAUCUCUUCGCGAUUUGUUCUCUCUUCACCGUCGAUUGCGUCAAUGGCCAGUAAUGGUGCCAAUGGUGCCGGAGCUAAGCACAUUGGCGAAGUACCUGGUAUCGUUGUGCCCUUUACAGCUUCGAAUUCGGGUUUGAGAGGUUCCUACGGCGUCAAAGGGAUACCGCUGUCUAAUUCAAAUCUUUAUACAUCUGUUGUUCCGGAGACCUCUCUGACUUUCGAGGGUGAGUUCGUGCCUAAUUCCGAUGAUAUAGAUUCAGAUCUUCAUAGAUCUGUGGUUUCGGAGACUUUCGGGACCUUUAACGGCGAGUAUGCACAGGCUCCGCUUCAGAUUUACUCUUGUCCGAGGUGCCGGAAUCUCCUAACAUUCUUUACGGGAUGGUUGUGCCGGAUUCCGAUGAUGAAUCUAUCGCUAUUGCGCCGGUGGGCAUAAACCCUAAAGGGAUGGUGGAGACUCCCUUGCCGGAGGCCACUCUACUGUUGUCCGUGAGGUUGUCCUUGAGUUCUUGAGAAUUUAUUGUCCUCUUGCCAUGUCAUUGCUCGAGUUCUCUAAGUUUUCUUCAUCACUUGAAGAAGAAAGUGAAAAAUAAGGCCCACGUUGAAGCGUCUAUUAGUUCAAUGUACGUUGUGGAGGAGCUUGCUGCUUUUUCAACUUUGUACUUUCAGGAACAAGCAUCAGCAAACACAAUUGACUUGCAACCGACUUUUGGCCCAGAGCCAUUCUCAGUGUUUAUGUUUCCAGGAACCUCAAGGGAGGCAUCAACGAUGCGGUAUAUAUCUGAGGUAUAAUGUCAUUGUGCAGACACAUUUAUUCUUCUAGACACACCUGAGGCAG